This 200-nucleotide long non-coding RNA is filed under the name Elaeis guineensis (African oil palm). Its description in RNAcentral is "long non-coding RNA (EGUI_LNC039723)". Lineage: Eukaryota; Viridiplantae; Streptophyta; Magnoliopsida; Arecales; Arecaceae. The record is from RNAcentral.
CCAUGGAAAAGGAUGGCACCCCCCUUUCUCUAAGUUGCCUAAAAAGAAGGAAGGGGCGUCCAAGAGUUGGACACCCUAAAACUCCACACGCCAAGCCCUCAUCUCAUGCCUCUUUGGAAGGGGUUUUCAAGAGAUUUUGCUGUUGGUUUCAAGGCAUCAAAGAGAGUCUCUCUUGCUGGUUUUAUAAUAGAAAAUGGAGA